CUUCACCGAGCCCAGCAGUAGCGGGCUCCCGGGGUCGCGGUCCUGGCCGUAGGCGGCGAGCAGGGCCUGCGCCUC
RNAcentral lists this antisense RNA (75 nucleotides) under Streptomyces sp. NRRL F-5755. Its description in RNAcentral is "ASpks sRNA". It matches the Rfam family "ASpks TB sRNA". The record is from RNAcentral. Lineage: Bacteria; Bacillati; Actinomycetota; Actinomycetes; Kitasatosporales; Streptomycetaceae.